This 5261-nucleotide small RNA is filed under the name Pan troglodytes (chimpanzee). Its description in RNAcentral is "retained intron". The record is from RNAcentral. Lineage: Eukaryota; Metazoa; Chordata; Mammalia; Primates; Hominidae.
CAUCAUCUGAGGUGGACAGGAAGCCCAGCCAAGCCACUGGGGCCGACCCCUCCCCUGGACUCACCUGCCUCUGAGCCACACACCCUCCAGCCACUACCCAUAGCAGUUCUGGGGGUGUGUCCUGGGAAGACUCCCUUCUGCUCCCCAAAACCCCAAGGCCUGGCUCGGGGCCACUGGAGCCGCAGGCGGGACAUAUGUGUGACCAGCCCUCUGCUCCUGGCAGCCCCGCGCUGUGUACUGUAAGGACGUGCUGGACAUCGAGCAGUUCUCCACUGUGAAGGGCGUCAAUCUGGACCACACAGACGACGACUUCUACUCCAAGUUCUCCACGGGCUCUGUGUCCAUCCCGUGGCAAAACGAGAUGAUAGAAACAGAAUGCUUUAAGGAGCUGAACGUGUUUGGACCUAAUGGUACCCUCUCGCCAGAUCUGAACAGAAACCACCCUCCGGAACCGCCCAAGAAAGGGCUGCUCCAGAGACUCUUCAAGCGGCAGCAUCAGAACAAUUCCAAGAGUUCGCCCAGCUCCAAGACCAGUUUUAACCACCACAUAAACUCAAACCAUGUCAGCUCAAACUCCACCGGAAGCAGCUAGUUUCGGCUCUGGCCUCCAAGUCCACAGUGGAACCAGCCCAGACCCUUCUCCUUAGAAGCGGAAGUAGUGGAGCCCCUGCUCUGGUGGGGCUGCCAGGGGAGCCCCCCGGGAGCCGGUGAAGGAGGCCGUCCAUCCCGUCGACGUAGAACCUCGAGGUUUCUCAAAGAAAUUUCCACUCAGGUCUGUUUUCCGAGGCGGCCCCGGCCGGGGUGGAUUGGAUUUGUCUUUGGUGAACAUUGCAAUAGAAAUCCAAUUGGAUACGACAACUUGCACGUAUUUUAAUAGCGUCAUAACUAGAACUGAAUUUUGUCUUUAUGAUUUUUAAAGAAAAGUUUUGUAAAUUUCUCUACUGUCUCAGUUUACAUUUUGUAUAUUUGUAUUUAAAUGAAAGUGAGACUUUGAGGGUGUAUAUUUUCUGUGCAGCCACUGUUAAGCCAUGUGUUCCAAGGCAUUUUAGCGGGGAGGGGGUUAUCAAAAAAAAAAAAAAAAUGUGACUCAAGACUUCCAGAGCCUCAAAUGAGAAAAUGUCUUUAUUAAAUGUAGAAAGUGAUCCACACUUCACCUUUGAAGGAUUGGUUGUAUUUACCCACAUCUAUCUCUGGAGCCAUUUCCUCACAUUGGUGUCACCCUUCUGUCGGCUUGGAAUAAUCUGAAUUAAAUGUUCCAGACACACGUGGGACUUCCCCCUCCCAGCCAGAAUGUCCUCUCCUGGGGCCCUCGGAGUCGCCUAGGCUGAGCCCUUCUCCUCGAGGGGCAUGCCGAGCCACUGUCGCACCCACCUCUGUCUGCUCUUCCUUCAGGAAGGCGGCUGGCGCGCGGAUCUAGGUGUUUGCAGCCUGGUGGGCGAUGGGCCUCUUUCCUUCUAAGCAGGUCCUGACUGCUAAAGCCAGUCAUUUGCAAGAGGUUUGCAUUGGGGGAUUUUUGCUCUAUUUUUAACAGACGCAUAGGACCGUAAAGAUGUGUCAUGAAACCCCAAGUGUCCCAAAGCCUCGGGGCCCACAGGAGCAUCGGGAAGUGAGGCAGCGCGCUCAUCCUGACGGAGCAGCGUCGUGUCUGUAGCGGGGAGGGAGGCUGGCCCAGGGACCCGGCAUGUUCCUGAAGCGUUCACAGGGUUUCGAGACCUUCACAGCCCCAUCAAUGUGCUGGCCCAUGUGGCAUGGGUGGGGCAGUCUCUCUGGGCAAAUGAGAGGCCCAAGGAGAGACCAAGCCACCAAAGGGCUCAAGACAUAGUCACUGUUCCUUCCCCAGGAAGGUGGGGCAGAGGCAAGAUCUAUCGGACAUUUCAAAGUUUCAGGCAGGAGCUCCUAGAGGACUUGGUGGCUUUGCCAGCCCAGGGGCCUCUGAAGGCAGCCCCCAGACCCUUGUAGCAGGGCUGUCCAUCCCCAGGGAGCAGCUGGCCACCUCCUCCUGCCUCGAUGAAGUGACCAGGGGCCAAUCUGCUCCCACCUCCCGUCCAGGACAGGGUGAACAUUUGACCUCACUGUCCCCUGCCCGGCUGAGUCCCUGAUGUCUGACUGUGCCACCCAGCAGCUGCCAGGGUCUCUCACCAUGUGGACCCUGCCCUAGCUGCAGUGGCACCUCCUGUCAAAAGUGCAGACUCGCAGGUUCCACCCCAAACCACAGAAUGGGAAUGCCUGGGAGCCCACCCCUGCUGUGGGCUCUCAGCAGGGCUUUGGGGGUGAUCAUCCCAAACACAUUUCUCUGGAUGACGCAGGCAGCAUUGGAGCAUGAGCCGUGGGGAGGACAGUCGUGAGCACACCAGCCGUGAGGCCCAGUUUCCAGGCCUAACCCCCGGACUCUACCCCUGGGUCCUGGGGCGUGCCGCUCAAAGGGUCCUGGCCUUUGGGACUGACCAUUUUGAGGCCCUUUUACAAAGAAAUGGGGGAGAAGAAAUAGCUGGACUUCCCUCAAAUCUUUUUAAUGUGCAGUAUUUUUUUGUUCAAGACCAGCUCUUGUUUUAUGAGGCUCCUUCCAUUACCUUUCUUGGGCUGAAUGCAAAACAAAUACAGCCAUAUUCAAGUCUUCCAAGGAAGUAGAAAACUCUUUGAAUGGUAUCUUAAGAUCCUUAAGCUCUUGCUGAACUUCCUUUUUCAAUGAAAAGAAGGACCAUCAUCCUAGGAUGGUCACCAGCCCAAGCCACCACCCCAGCCACCCAUCCAGGAGGUUGGUUCCUUUUCCCCAGUUCAUAGCAGCUCAGUCCUUACCAAAUGGAUUCUUGGUGUUGGGAGGCAGCCUCUUUUUAUUCCUGAAAGGCAAUGCCCUGUCCGUUUGCAGUAGAGAACCCCCAGGGAGCAAGAAAGCUGACAGAAGUGUGGCUGCCGUGUUUCUAGGUCAUGAGAGCUCUGGCAGUACUACCACAAGGCCUGCACGUGGACUCUAUGAUAACUUGAGUCUUCCAUCAUGUUUGCCACCAGCCCUCCCUGAGUGCCCAGAGGAGAUGGGGGCAGAGUCACUUGGCCUACUAAAGCCUCCUGUUCCUUCUGGCUCAUGCAUUGCUUUGUGGUAAGAGAAAGGAAGUCUUUAGAACAGUGCCUGGGAAUCAGCCCUUCUCCCUACUGAGUCCCCAGUCCUGUCCCUUCCCUGACUCGCUCCUCCUCCAACCUUGGUUUCUAUAGCUGCAUUUUUUUUUUUUUUUUUGAGACAAGAUCUCAUUGUGUUCCCCAGGCUGAAGUGCAGUGGCAUGAUUCUGGCUCACUGCAGCCUCAAACUCCUGAGCCCAAGCUAUCCUCCUGCCUCAGCCUCCGAGGUAGCUGGGACCAUAGGCGUGCACCACCAUGCUCAGCUAAUUUUUAAAAUUUGUUGUAGAGAUGGGGGGUCUCCCCAUGUUGCCCAGGCUGGCCUCGAACUCCUGAGCCCAAGCUAUCCUCCUGCCUCAGCCUCCCAAAGUGCUGAGGUUAUAGGUGUGAGCCACUGUCCCUGGCCUAUACGGUCAUUUUUAAAAAGAUAUUUUAAAAUUAAAAGCAAACAACACUGUCCACCCAUCUACCUGUCCAGGAUAAGGCAUAUUUGGACGGUGAACAGAUUUACUCUCGUUCGUGCAUUUGAGCGCUUCACAGAAGAGUCUUUCUUGCUCCAGGCAUGACAUUUUUUUUCACCAGACGUUCACUGACUUCGUGACUUUGAGGUGAGACAUGGGAUCUCUCAGAAGCGUCUCUGCAUCUGCAUUUCAGGAGAUGAGCUGCUGUCCCUGGUGGACAGAGGUGGUCUCUGCCAUGGUCACCAUGAUGCCCUACAAGUGUUUAUUGAGUCCCUUGGGGGGCACCCAGAAUACCACCCAAAAUAGCAAGAAGACCCAGUCCCCGCCUUGCGGACGAUGCACUCACACGCCACAGCAACCCAUUCUCGCCUCUUCCUUGGCCGGGAACCCGGGGCUCUAGGGCUGCUCGCUGCUGCUGUGGCCUGCGCAGCCAUGGGAGGCUUCCUGAAAGGCAUUGCUUGGAGGGGCGGGGGCGGGGAGGCCUAGCCUGCCCCACAGACACAGCUGUGAGGCCUGGGUCAUACACAUACCAGCAAGCAGCUGCCGAGACAAAUGGUGGUGGGAAGUCCUGGGAACACACACAGCCUUUGCAUUAACAGCACAAGUAGGAUCAGAGCCCAGGUGAGCCCCUGAGGAUACCGAGGCCUUCCCUCCCUGAGGCCCGCAAGUCUCCAUGCGUCUCCCGGGAGCCUGGCCCCGCUGCAGAAAUCCCUCCUCUUCCUCCACACCCUGUCCUUUCCCCAAAGGCUCGUGUUAUCAGUUCCAGCUACCCAUCGACUUUCCCACUGAGCCGCUGCCCUCAAAACGGAGGGGGCACCGCAGCCUCCUUGAGCCUGGCAUCCCAGGCCUUGCCAAAGGGGACAGUGGCUUCCUGGAUAAUUGGAAAUCUCUGAGAAGAAGAGGAAACACCUGAGUGACACUCAGCUGUCCUCUGGGGUCCCCUGGUGUGCAUGCACGUCCUCCUGAAUACCUGUACUUCCAAGAGGUGGUCUCCUGUUUUCAUAACCCAACACUCUGAGAUAGGAUCUUCCAACUUUUUAGCCCCGGCUGUGGAAAGAUAGUGAGUAUGAAGUCUUUGUGCAUUUGGAAGUGACAUCGCUGUGUGGAUUAUGAACACAGAGAGCUGCCAUCUUCCUGAUCACAAUGGACCACGAAUGCAGAGCCUCCUCUCCCAGAGACCCCUUCUGCGCCUGCCCUCCCCACCCACCACCCAGCUGUUGAAGCUCAGCGUGUGCAAGUCAGACCCUGCACAGGCCGGGGGUGGCUCACCUGGCCUAAACAUAAAGGCUUGUGCCGGAGACAGUGAUUGAAAACAUUUGAAAAGCCAGCUCUCCCUGGCAGAGAAAGACGCUUCCCCUGAAGUGGAAUUUAGAUGUCUUUCCCUAGUCCAUCAAGAAGUCAUUUUUGUAACAGUCCCUAAGCAAGUGUUUUCAAUUAGAAGAGUUUAGGGGCUUUUGGUGUUGUUAAAAUAAUAAUAAUCCUUCUAGCAUCCAAAGCUUUCUAAUUUUUUUCAGGGAGAUUUGGACAUUAAUGAAUGGAAACUUCCAUGGUGGCGGUCACUCCUGAAGGCAGCGGCUUCUGUUCUCCCGCUGCUGUAACUCUGUGUGUUCCGUCUAUCGCGUCACAGUGCCGCUGGAUCUAGAUGGAGCCACUGUUGUUGUUUUUAAAAGAGAAAUAAAUUCCUUAAUGGAA